UACGUAGGGUGCGAGCGUUGUCCGGAAUUAUUGGGCGUAAAGAGCUCGUAGGCGGUGUGUCACGUCGGCCGUGAAAACCUGCAGCUUAACUGUGGGCGUGCGGUCGAUACGGGCAUCACUGGAGUUCGGCAGGGGAGACUGGAAUUCCUGGUGUAGCGGUGAAAUGCGCAGAUAUCAGGAGGAACACCGAUGGCGAAGGCAGGUCUCUGGGCAUUAACUGACGCUGAGGAGCGAAAAGCAUGGGGAGCGAACAGG
RNAcentral lists this ribosomal RNA (255 nucleotides) under uncultured bacterium. RNAcentral describes it as "partial 16S ribosomal RNA". It matches the Rfam family "Bacterial small subunit ribosomal RNA", at positions 524 to 776 of the family's 1533-position model. The record is from RNAcentral.